RNAcentral lists this ribosomal RNA (253 nucleotides) under uncultured bacterium. Its description in RNAcentral is "partial 16S ribosomal RNA". It matches the Rfam family "Bacterial small subunit ribosomal RNA", at positions 524 to 776 of the family's 1533-position model. The record is from RNAcentral.
UACAGAGGGGGCAAGCGUUGUUCGGAAUUACUGGGCGUAAAGGGCGCGUAGGCGGCCCGCUAAGUCGAACGUGAAAUCCCCGGGCUCAACCCGGGAACUGCGUCCGAUACUGGCAGGCUUGAAUCCGGGAGAGGGAUGCGGAAUUCCAGGUGUAGCGGUGAAAUGCGUAGAUAUCUGGAGGAAUACCGGUGGCGAAGGCGGCAUCCUGGACCAUAACUGACGCUGAGGCGCGAAAGCUAGGGGAGCAAACGGG